This 69-nucleotide transfer RNA is filed under the name Agapetus fuscipes. RNAcentral's name for it is "tRNA-Lys". The record is from RNAcentral. Lineage: Eukaryota; Metazoa; Arthropoda; Insecta; Trichoptera; Glossosomatidae.
CAUUAGAUAACUUAAGUAAGUAUUGGUCUUUUGAACCAUAUUAUAGUAAUCUAACAAAUACUUCUAAUG